GAUUCUUAGUGCUCUGAUACAAUCAUGAUUAAACUGAAGAAGGUCAGUCUGGAGAAUCAAGUAAAUAAAUAGUUCCAGUAGAAUGUGUUAACAUAUGUAAUUGAGUUGCUACAAAGCAGCUUGCAGAGGCUUGAAGGCCCAAGAUGGAUGAAUAGGCAUUUUGAAGAGGAAAAUGUGAGCAAGGAGAAAACAACAUUGGCUGGGGACUCUUGGGAGGAAAUCAAGCUGUCUGAGAAUUCAGAGGUGGCAGCCAGACCAUCGCCUCUACUCUACAUUGCAAGCUUAGCUAAGGCCAUUCAUCUGAUGGAAAAACCUAUUCCCUUUGGCUCUCAUUUCAGUCAGGAGGUCUACCUUGUUUCUGCCAUGUACAUGUCUAGCAGCUGAUGACACUAUUCAGAAAGCUCCUCGAGCCUACCUUGUUUCCUCUUCCUUCUCCUUUCUCAUGACGUGCAAGUGGAUUAUCUGAACACUGCUUUUACUUAGAGGAAUCCCAGCCCAUCUGUACAACCACUGUGUGAUCUGAGUCUUCAGCCACUGUACCUCCUUGGCAUGCUGCCACGUUCUAAUAAUGCCCAUCAUAGCAACAAUGGCAGCUACAAGAAACCUUGCUGGAUCCCACAUGUUCUUACAGAUAUCCACCCCCAGUUCUCUUUUCCUUUAAUAAAAUUUCUU
This is a long non-coding RNA of Gorilla gorilla gorilla (western lowland gorilla), 672 nucleotides long. RefSeq lists it as uncharacterized. Lineage: Eukaryota; Metazoa; Chordata; Mammalia; Primates; Hominidae. The record is from RefSeq and is a predicted model, not a curated record. The transcript has 4 exons.